UGUGUUUUAGGCCAUGUUGGCCAAUCAGAAGCCUGACAAAGUUUCAAGUAGGCGGAGAAAACAGCGCAGGCUCCGACGUCACAAGCCAAAAACUCUGGUUUUGCUGUCUAACGUUACAUGAUAACACUGCAACCGGAGUUUUUUAAAAUCUUCACCCUGGCAGGAGUUUUCAAAAUGUUCGGUUUCAGUGACCUGGUGCAGUGUUUGCGUGAGGACGAACGGCCAAACCGCAGAGAAAAAGCUGCUGUAUUGAAAAUAACCGCGUUCGUGUGGACGGCCAAUGAGCGCGCGCGUUGAGCAUUCAAAUCGUAUUUAAACUGAAGCGGAGGAGGUUACCAUGGCAACAGGGCGUCAACUCACUCAGCUGACAAUUAACGAGAAGCUGUCUCUCUGCUGUCUUCACUGCUUUCAGGUACGUUUAGUCCCUAAAGUUACACAAAUAAUACAUACAACUGUUCCUGACACUUUCUUACAUGUUACUGACACGUUUCUGUUGAAUCUUUACUUUACAGGAGUGGUAUAGUGUCUUCAAAAAGACCGUUAGCAUCACAACCGUUAACUAUAGAGGCUAACAAUUAGAGGAGCGUCAGAAAAAAUACUUAAAGCAGGGGAAGUUACAAGAAAAUUUGUAAUGAGAGCUGCUGACAGAGAUACAGGAAACACAGAGCUGGAGCAGAACAGAUCUCCUGUCGAAGAACAUCUCCAAAGCGCCAUGAACCAUCUGACUAGGCAGUUCGUGAAGACGGAUAACCUGGACAGAAGUCGGUUCCAGAUCCAGCCUCCACACCAGACUUCUCACUCACAAGGAUUGCUGUCUACUAGAUAUUAUGUGUACUCUUCAGACUUAGGUUCAUGCAGAUAUUAUUCAGGGACAUGAACACUUGAAUACUGCAAAAAUAGAGAAACAGAGAAAUAGAGAACUUUGUGUUAAUUGCGUGAACAUUAAACAAAUAUAUAUUUAUUUUACUGUUUUUUUGUUUUGUAUUCCAAAGCACCUAAAAGCCAAUUCACACUGCCAUACACCAACAGGGUGAACACACUGA
Molecule: long non-coding RNA, 1043 nt
Organism: Onychostoma macrolepis
Lineage: Eukaryota; Metazoa; Chordata; Actinopteri; Cypriniformes; Cyprinidae
Exons: 4
Source: RefSeq, a predicted model, not a curated record